CCUACGGGAGGCAGCAGUGAGGAAUAUUGGUCAAUGGGCGGAAGCCUGAACCAGCCAAGUCGCGUGAGGGAUUAAGGCCCUGUGGGUCGUAAACCUCUUUUGCCGGGGAGCAGAGGCCCGGACGCGUCCGUGCCGGGAGAGUACCCGGAGAAAAAGCACCGGCUAACUCCGUGCCAGCAGCCGCGGUAAUACGGAGGAUGCGAGCGUUAUCCGGAUUUAUUGGGUUUAAAGGGUGCGUAGGCGGGCAUUUAAGCCGGCGGUCAAAUGUCGGGGCGCAACGCCGGCCUGCCGUCGGAACUGGGUGGCUUGAGUGGGCGAGAGGUAUGCGGAAUGCGUGGUGUAGCGGUGAAAUGCAUAGAUAUCACGCAGAACCCCGAUUGCGAAGGCAGCAUACCGGCGCCCUACUGACGCUGAGGCACGAAAGUGCGGGUAGCGAACAGGAUUAGAUACCCUAGUAGUC
RNAcentral lists this ribosomal RNA (460 nucleotides) under uncultured bacterium. RNAcentral describes it as "partial 16S ribosomal RNA". It matches the Rfam family "Bacterial small subunit ribosomal RNA", at positions 338 to 795 of the family's 1533-position model. The record is from RNAcentral.